UACGAAGGGGGCUAGCGUUGCUCGGAAUCACUGGGCGUAAAGCGCACGUAGGCGGCUUUUUAAGUCAGGGGUGAAAUCCUGGAGCUCAACUCCAGAACUGCCUUUGAUACUGAGAAGCUUGAGUCCGGGAGAGGUGAGUGGAACUGCGAGUGUAGAGGUGAAAUUCGUAGAUAUUCGCAAGAACACCAGUGGCGAAGGCGGCUCACUGGCCCGGUACUGACGCUGAGGCGCGAAAGCGUGGGUAGCAAACGGG
This 253-nucleotide ribosomal RNA is filed under the name uncultured bacterium. RNAcentral describes it as "partial 16S ribosomal RNA". It matches the Rfam family "Bacterial small subunit ribosomal RNA", at positions 524 to 776 of the family's 1533-position model. The record is from RNAcentral.